AUGGUCUUAGCUUGCUAAGGCCGAUGGCGACCGGCGCACGGGUGAGUAACACGUAUCCAACCUGCCGUCUACUCUUGGACAGCCUUCUGAAAGGAAGAUUAAUACAAGAUGGCAUCAUGAGUCCGCAUGUUCACAUGAUUAAAGGUAUUCCGGUAGACGAUGGGGAUGCGUUCCAUUAGAUAGUAGGCGGGGUAACGGCCCACCUAGUCUUCGAUGGAUAGGGGUUCUGAGAGGAAGGUCCCCCACAUUGGAACUGAGACACGGUCCAAACUCCUACGGGAGGCAGCAGUGAGGAAUAUUGGUCAAUGGGCGAGAGCCUGAACCAGCCAAGUAGCGUGAAGGAUGACUGCCCUAUGGGUUGUAAACUUCUUUUAUAAAGGAAUAAAGUCGGGUAUGGAUACCCGUUUGCAUGUACUUUAUGAAUAAGGAUCGGCUAACUCCGUGCCAGCAGCCGCGGUAAUACGGAGGAUCCGAGCGUUACCCGGAUUUAUUGGGUUUAAAGGGAGCGUAGAUGGAUGUUUAAGUCAGUUGUGAAAGUUUGCGGCUCAACCGUAAAAUUGCAGUUGAUACUGGAUAUCUUGAGUGCAGUUGAGGCAGGCGGAAUUCGUGGUGUAGCGGUGAAAUGCUUAGAUAUCACGAAGAACUCCGAUUGCGAAGGCAGCCUGCUAAGCUGCAACUGACAUUG
This 685-nucleotide ribosomal RNA is filed under the name uncultured Bacteroidales bacterium. RNAcentral's name for it is "bacterial SSU rRNA". It matches the Rfam family "Bacterial small subunit ribosomal RNA", at positions 69 to 748 of the family's 1533-position model. Lineage: Bacteria; Pseudomonadati; Bacteroidota; Bacteroidia; Bacteroidales. The record is from RNAcentral.